AAGUCGUAACAAGGUUUCCGUAGGUGAACCUGCGGAAGGAUCAUUAACGAGUUUUGAAACGAGUUGUAGCUGGCCUUCCGAGGCAUGUGCACGCUCUGCUCAUCCACUCUACCCCUGUGCACUUACUGUAGGUUGGCGUGGGCUCCUUAACGGGAGCAUUCUGCCGGCCUAUGUUAUACUACAAACACUUUAAAGUAUCAGAAUGUAAACGCGUCUAACGCAUCUAUAAUACAACUUUUAGCAACGGAUCUCUUGGCUCUCGCAUCGAUGAAGAACGCAGCGAAAUGCGAUAAGUAAUGUGAAUUGCAGAAUUCAGUGAAUCAUCGAAUCUUUGAACGCACCUUGCGCUCCUUGGUAUUCCGAGGAGCAUGCCUGUUUGAGUGUCAUGGAAUUCUCAACUUAUAAAUCCUUGUGAUCUAUAAGCUUGGACUUGGAGGCUUGCUGGCCCUCGUUGGCCGGCUCCUCUUGAAUGCAUUAGCUCGAUUCCGUACGGAUCGGCUCUCAGUGUGAUAAUUGUCUACGCUGUGACCGUGAAGUGUUUUGGCGAGCUUCUAACCGUCCAUUAGGACAACUUUUUAACAUCUGACCUCAAAUCAGGUAGGACUACCCGCUGAACUUAAGCAUAUCAAUAAGCGGAGGAAAAGAAACUAACAAGGAUUCCCCUAGUAACUGCGAGUGAAGCGGGAAAAGCUCAAAUUUAAAAUCUGGCGGUCUUUGGCCGUCCGAGUUGUAGUCUGGAGAAGCGUCUUCCGCG
RNAcentral lists this small RNA (754 nucleotides) under Trametes versicolor. Its description in RNAcentral is "eukaryotic LSU rRNA". The stretch from base 233 to 386 matches the Rfam family "5.8S ribosomal RNA". Lineage: Eukaryota; Fungi; Basidiomycota; Agaricomycetes; Polyporales; Polyporaceae. The record is from RNAcentral.